Molecule: ribosomal RNA, 432 nt
Filed under: uncultured bacterium
Lineage: Bacteria
Description: bacterial SSU rRNA
Rfam family: Bacterial small subunit ribosomal RNA
Source: RNAcentral
GAUGAACGCUAGCGGCAGGCUUAAUACAUGCAAGUCGUGGGGCAGCAGGUUUGUAGCAAUACAGAUGCUGGCGACCGGCAAACGGGUGCGGAACACGUACAGAACCUUCCUUUGAGCGGGGAAUAGCCCAGAGAAAUUUGGAUUAAUACCCCAUAGUAUAAUGAAGUGGCAUCACUUUAUUAUUAAAGAUUUAUCACUCGAAGAUGGCUGUGCGGCUGAUUAGGUAGUUGGCGGGGUAAAGGCCCACCAAGCCUGCGAUCAGUAACUGGUGUGAGAGCACGACCAGUCACACGGGCACUGAGACACGGGCCCGACUCCUACGGGAGGCAGCAGUAAGGAAUAUUGGUCAAUGGAGGCAACUCUGAACCAGCCAUGCCGCGUGGAGGAUGAAGGUCCUCUGGAUUGUAACUUCUUUAUAUGGGACGAAAAAGG